This 253-nucleotide ribosomal RNA is filed under the name uncultured prokaryote. RNAcentral describes it as "partial 16S ribosomal RNA". It matches the Rfam family "Bacterial small subunit ribosomal RNA", at positions 524 to 776 of the family's 1533-position model. The record is from RNAcentral.
UACAGAGGGUGCAAGCGUUAAUCGGAAUUACUGGGCGUAAAGCGUGCGUAGACGGUUACAUAAGUCGGGUGUGAAAGCCCCGGGCUCAACCUGGGAAUUGCAAUGGAGACUGCAAGGCUGGAGUCUGGCAGAGGGGGGUAGAAUUCCACGUGUAGCAGUGAAAUGCGUAGAGAUGUGGAGGAACACCGAUGGCGAAGGCAGCCCCCUGGGUCAAGACUGACGCUCAUGCACGAAAGCGUGGGGAGCAAACAGG